This 811-nucleotide long non-coding RNA is filed under the name Felis catus (domestic cat). RNAcentral describes it as "lncRNA (ENSFCAG00000049005.1)". Lineage: Eukaryota; Metazoa; Chordata; Mammalia; Carnivora; Felidae. The record is from RNAcentral.
GAAUGGAUUGCUGACUGAACCCCAAACCCAGUAAGUGCUUAACAAUGAGGUCUGCCCACAGCACACAGCAGUUGUAACAGAUAGAGCUGAGGAAGGAAGGGGAAAGAAAUCAUCUAUAUUUAUUUCAGGUGUAUUCAGUCCAGGAAGACUUCCCAGAGACACUAUAAGUUAUGGCUGGCAUUGAAGACUGAAGGAGAAAGAGCUGAGGGAACUCACAUACAGAUGAUGCUAGAUGCUCGUGUACUUCUCUACUGUGCCUCCUGCUGGCAUGGGAACAAGUGGCAGCCCAGCCAGUCUCCCCAUGAUGAGCAAAGCAACUGGAGUCCUGGCUUCUGGCAGACAAUGUUAACGACAAUUGACGGGAGGCUCCAAACCCAGGUUUACUGAGAGGUAAGAUCACAGACAUCUUUAGCACGGCUACCUCAACCCAUAUGGGCACAGGAAGUUCAACAGGCCACCCAGGAGGUAAGGCAUCUGUGGUAUUCACACAUGUCCUUCUUCUCACAUGUAACCACCUUUUCUGAAAAUUCUUUCCCAGUGCCUAAUGUUUACCUUCCAAUUUCCAGCACAAAUGAGAUGAAUAGCAAUGACAAAGACUCUCUUUGAACUUUAGUUGGGCUCCUCUGAGCCCAUUUCUCAAGUAGGCCUCGACCUUGGCUUUUGUGUCCUUCCUCGGGGAGCCUAGUUUUAGAAAGAAUCCUGCUACAUCAACUCCCAAACCUUGAUAUCUGAUCACCCAAGCUCCCCAUCUCUGCCCCUGAUGACAUUUAGUCCUUUCUUGUCCUUAACAAGAGCAAUGCCAGGCCAGUUU